RNAcentral lists this ribosomal RNA (209 nucleotides) under uncultured bacterium. Its description in RNAcentral is "partial 16S ribosomal RNA". It matches the Rfam family "Bacterial small subunit ribosomal RNA", at positions 568 to 774 of the family's 1533-position model. The record is from RNAcentral.
CGUGUAGGCGGCCUGACCAAGUCGGAUGUGAAAUCCCUCGGCUCAACCGAGGAACUGCAUCCGAUACUGGUUGGCUAGAGUUCGGGAGAGGGUAGCGGAAUUCCCAGUGUAGCGGUGAAAUGCGUAGAUAUUGGGAAGAACACCGGUGGCGAAGGCGGCUACCUGGACCGAUACUGACGCUGAGGCGCGAAAGCCGAGGGGAGCGAAUG